UUAAUAAUUUCAAAUAAGAAGAAAAUUGGACAAUUAACUCAAUAAAUCCUCUCCAACUGUUUAAAUUUACGUCACAAAACCGAACAUAUGUUGGAGUUUGGAUAGUUUAGUCAUUUUUGGUCAUAGGACAAAAUAGUCAAAUUAAAUUAUAUUAAAACGAAAUUAGUGAUCAACAAUGGUUAAGAGACUUAUGUAAAGAAAAUGAUUUAAUUGUUUAAACUUUCUCUUUUUUUCAAAUUUUAAAAAAUUAUCUGAAUUUUUGUAAGUUAUAUUUUGAAAUGAGGUGGAUUUACACACAUAUAUUUGGGGUGGAAAUACUCUAACCUUAAAAUUAGGUUCGAAUUCCAACAAUUGAGGGAAUUGGUAAGAUAAAUAUAUUCUCUGUCACAAAUAUAAAUAGAUGAUAGAUAUAUCUCCCAAUAUUAUUGAGGUAUAACAUUGCGCUACGCCACAAUAAAAUAUAUUUAAAUUUCUAAUUGCAUGUAACUGUAGACUUCUCACUGUAAAUCCAAAUAAUACAACCAUGUGAUAAAUUUCUAAUUGCAUGUGUCUAAAGACUUUUCAUUGUAAAUACUAAAUAAAGAUAAAUGCAACCAUAAGAUAUUAUCUUUACCAAAAUAUUGUCAACCCAUGUGCUGUAGGGAACUUCCAUGUCCACACUCAAUUUGAUUACGAAGUUCAACUCCCAAUUUCCCUUCGUUUUAUCAACUCUGUCUCUUUCUAAAUUGACACAAAACUGUAUAUAUACGAGUCCAAGGCAGCGACUUUUGACAGACACCAUAAUUUUGUUGUAAAAUCUCAUUCCCAUUCUUGCUUUUGCCUUUUUUUAUUUGUUACUCCACACCUCCCUCUUAUUAUGACAGAGCCUAAAACAGAAGCUCGAUCUCCCAUGCUCAAAGACCGGCCCAGAACUUACUGCCAGCAGCAGAUGGAGCAAGUUCAGUGUCUCCCUCCUAAGAGAGGGCGUAUCAAGCGUCGAAUUCUCUCGUGUCUUUUUCACAAGAUGAUGAUCAUUCUUCAGAAAUUCGGUUUUCAUCCCCACUGCUCCUGUUUUGGCAAUUCUUCCGCAUGAUUUUUAAUAAGUACAUAGAUAUUGAUCUUUUUUAAAAUCUUAGAUACGUUCGUAUUUUAUAAAAUACGAAUUUGUAGACGUUCGCAUUUUAUAAAAUACGAAUUUAUUCUUAAUUACUUUAAAUAAGUCUACAAUAUAGUUUUUUUUUUUUUUUGUAAAAUUCUGUUCUGUACUGUUUUGGUGGGCUUGUACAUAAUAAGUGUUAUAGUAACUUGAUGACCAUUUGCUGUUAUUGUUAUGGUGUACAUAUAUGAUCCACCUUGAGUUAGAGUGCAGUUACUUGCAUUCUCAAUGUCCCAUGAUUCAUGAGCAACACAAGUUUGUGACCACUCAUUUUGUUUUGUUAAUUCAUUUUUACCUGUGAUGAUAUAAACCCUUGCUUUUCUUUUUCUUUUCUUUUCAAUUGAAUAUACCCUUGUUAAUUACUAGCUAAUUCUAAUGUCUAUUCUUUUUUUUCGCAUUUCCGGUCCCCUAUCUAUCUCUUUUUCAGAAAGCAUGGAAAAAGUUAGAGCCUUUUUAAGUUGUUAACCGCAUGGCGAAUCCAAAAAAAUAAUUUACUCAGGACUAAAUU
RNAcentral lists this long non-coding RNA (1643 nucleotides) under Citrus x clementina. RNAcentral's name for it is "Citrus clementina (C. clementina) long non-coding RNA (CCLE_LNC002591)". Lineage: Eukaryota; Viridiplantae; Streptophyta; Magnoliopsida; Sapindales; Rutaceae. The record is from RNAcentral.